This 227-nucleotide long non-coding RNA is filed under the name Ananas comosus (pineapple). RNAcentral describes it as "long non-coding RNA (ACOM_LNC032811)". The record is from RNAcentral. Lineage: Eukaryota; Viridiplantae; Streptophyta; Magnoliopsida; Poales; Bromeliaceae.
GAUUUCUAAUAUACCGAAUCCCCGAAUCGUAAUGCUAACAUUGAUCAAAUUGAUCAAUGUGUGGUAUGAAGGUGAUAAGUGAAGUCCCCGAGUUGCCUUGAAGACAUUGGGAUGGUUAGAAGUGAGUUUCGAGAGUAUUUAAGUAUUUUCGGCGCAAACUGGGCGCGGAAACGGGCUCUGAAGUGUUAAGUCUGCUGGAACGGCAGAAAUUCUAUUGAGUACCGAAA